This 402-nucleotide unclassified non-coding RNA is filed under the name soil metagenome. Its description in RNAcentral is "partial contains 5.8S ribosomal RNA, internal transcribed spacer 2, and large subunit ribosomal RNA". The stretch from base 1 to 121 matches the Rfam family "5.8S ribosomal RNA", at positions 35 to 154 of the family's 154-position model. The record is from RNAcentral.
GAUGAAGAACGUAGCGAAAUGCGAUAAGUAAUGUGAAUUGCAGAAUUCAGUGAAUCAUCGAAUCUUUGAACGCACCUUGCGCCCUUUGGCUAUUCUGAAGGGCAUGCCUGUUUGAGUAUCAUGAACACCUCAACUCUCAUGGUUCGCCAUGAUGAGCUUGGACUUUGGGGGUCUUGCUGGCCUACGGUCGGCUCCUCUCAAAUGAAUCAGCUUGCCAGUGUUUGGUAGAGUCGCAGGUGUGAUAACUAUCUACGCUUGUGGUUUUCUGCCAGAUAACCUUCAGUGAUGGAGGUUCGCUGGAGCUUAUAAAUGUCUCUCCCCAGUGAGGACAGCUUUUUGAACGUUUGCUCUCAAAUCAGGUAGGACUACCCGCUGAACUUAAGCAUAUCAAUAAGCGGAGGA